This 253-nucleotide ribosomal RNA is filed under the name uncultured bacterium. RNAcentral's name for it is "partial 16S ribosomal RNA". It matches the Rfam family "Bacterial small subunit ribosomal RNA", at positions 524 to 776 of the family's 1533-position model. The record is from RNAcentral.
UACGAGAGGCCCAAACGUUAUUCGGAUUUACUGGGCUUAAAGAGUUCGUAGGCGGCGCAGAAAGUAGGGUGUGAAAGCCCUCGGCUCAACCGAGGAAUUGCGCUCUAAACUACUGUGCUUGAGGAACCUAGAGGUGAGCGGAACUGAUGGUGGAGCGGUGAAAUGCGUUGAUAUCAUCAGGAACACCGGAGGCGAAGGCGGCUCACUGGGGGUUAUCUGACGCUGAGGAACGAAAGCCAGGGGAGCGAACGGG